CUCGGAAGUCUCUGAGGGAGUCAGCUUUAAGCAGGGCAUUUGUAAGCUGAGUGUCAGUUUGAGUUCUCCUAAGAUCUAUUAAAAGGAUCUUAUGAAGAAAAACUCUACUCACCCAGGCUUUGAGGGUUGCCCCAGUGAGUGAACACCAGCUGCUUCUCACCUCAUCUGUGGACUGCACGGUGAAGCUGUGGCGCUUAGAAGGGGAAUAUGUAGGUACAUUUGGUCAAAAAGAUCUGUGGAACAUCAAGGAUAAAAUGUCCUGGCAGAGCAGGCCUAAUCCAAACAGCCACACUACUCCAGCUGCACCUGCUAGGCAAGUGUCGGCAAUAAAACCAAGCUGUGCCACAGGAAGGGAAGAUGAGGCAAACAGCG
Chrysemys picta bellii (western painted turtle) is the source of this 372-nucleotide non-coding RNA. The record is from RefSeq and is a predicted model, not a curated record. NCBI's taxonomy places the organism in Eukaryota, Metazoa, Chordata, Testudines, Emydidae.